AGGCAGUGAGGCAGGCAGGCAACAGAGCAGGCAUAGCU
Molecule: non-coding RNA, 38 nt
Filed under: uncultured alveolate
Lineage: Eukaryota
Source: RNAcentral